This 253-nucleotide ribosomal RNA is filed under the name uncultured bacterium. RNAcentral describes it as "partial 16S ribosomal RNA". It matches the Rfam family "Bacterial small subunit ribosomal RNA", at positions 524 to 776 of the family's 1533-position model. The record is from RNAcentral.
UACGUAGGGUGCGAGCGUUGUCCGGAAUUAUUGGGCGGAAAGGGCUCGUAGGCGGUUUGUCGCGUCGGGAGUGAAAUCCACUGGCUUAACUGGUGGCUUGCUUUCGAUACGGGCAGACUGGAGGUAUGCAGGGGAGAACGGAAUUCCUGGUGUAGCGGUGAAAUGCGCAGAUAUCAGGAGGAACACCGAUGGCGAAGGCAGGUCUCUGGGCAUUAACUGACGCUGAGGAGCGAAAACAUGGGGAGCGAACAGG